GGAAAAUUCCAAUGUGUUUUGUGUGUUCUUAAUUUACUUUUAUAAUUAUUCAUUUGUUGAGUUUAAUAUCCUAUUAUCCUAACGUUUUUCACAAACUAGACAAAUUUCUCAGAUAAUUGAUCAGUAAGAAGUAUGCUUUGAAUGUUUGAAUAAAUCUCAAGUAUUACUUUUAUGUUUAUUUAUUCGUAUUUCGAAUACAUAUUGUUGACUGUUGCUUUCAAUACAUUUAAUAUAAGUACUAAUUGAGUGUUUCAUUCUACAAGUUGACAUGGCAUUGGAUAGAUCACCAUUUCCAUUACUUGAUGAUACUUUAAGCUACUUGAAGGUUGGAAUAACUGGAAAAAUUAAACAUAUUGUAAGAAACAAAUACAAUAUAUUUAUUUUUCACAUGUUGUUGCAAGAAUGUGAAUAUAUUAAUGAUGAGGAACUUAAUUUGGCUUUAUUAAAUGAACUAGUUGUACCUUUGUCUAAUGUACAACCUGGCUCAUUACUGGCUUGUCUUCAUCCACAAAAUAAAACAUGGAUGCGGUGUUAUGUUGUAUCUAUUUUGCAUCACCAAGCUAAUGUUGUAUUUUGUGAAACUGGCGAAAUGACGAAAACAAAAAAACUUAAAAAUAUUCCAGAAAAGUAUAAACGUAUACCUGUUAUUACGUUUGAAGCUGAGGUUAAAUGUAUUUGUCCUUAUGGAAAAUUACAACAUUUAAUGGAGAAUUUUAAAGAUUAUAGUGCAACAUUUGAACCGUUUAUAAUUAAACCAAAUAAAGAAACAUAUAAAAUUAUGAAACUUUAUUAUAAGACUAUAUCUAUUGAUUUCAUUAUUAAAAAUUGGGAUCUACAGAAAUACAUAGAUAGUGAAAACUUAAAUUAUAAUUCACUUAUGUUUAAAAAUGGUAGUUCUGUUGUCUUAGCAAAAAAAGAAAUGUAUGAUUGGAGGCAUAUAUUUGUUAGGAGUGUUGAUCAUUUUGUUGAUGUCAGUAAAGAAUUACAGUUACAAUGUGAAAAUGCUUCAUAUAUUUUAAGAGACCUUACUGCUGGAGAUUUUGUUGCAGUAAAAUACACAGAUAAAUUUUACAGAGGCAAAGUCAUUGACAUAUUAGACAAUUCCUGUUUUUCUUUAUAUUUAAUAGAUAGUGGUUGUGUAAUAUCUGCUUCAAUUGAUUGUAUAGUUGAUUUACCUGGCACUUUAAAAAAGAUUCCACCGACUGUAUGUUUAGUUGGAUUAAAAGAUAUAACUUUAAAGCCUUGGACACCUGAGGCGUCUUUGUAUAUUGAGCAGUUAUUUAAAAAUUCUACAACUAUGGUAUUGGAAUACACUGACCAUGAUCCUUUUGGUUUGGAUUCUGUAACCUUAACUGUUAUUAAUAGCAAUGAAGAUGUAAAUGAACAUAUUAAAGAACUUCUAAAAUUUGUGGAAAAUCCAUCAAGUGACAAUGAUCAUGCCAGUUUAAACUGUGUACAUGGUUCCAAUAAUUUAUUUAAUUUAAAAUCCAAUCAAGUUAUUCCUGUUAACUCUCGGGUGAAAUCAGAUUCUUUAGAUAUGCCAGAACAACAAUUAGAAUGUUUAUUGCCAUCUGGCAGUACAGUUUACAUGACUGGUGUUGUGGAUCUGAAAGAAAUAUAUGUUAGAAAAUUGGCAGAUCAUGAUGAUGACCAUGAAAAAUUCUUGGAUAUGGUUAAUGAAUUCUGUUCAUCAGCGUUACCAAUUAAUAGGCCUUUGAUAAUUGGAGAAAUUGUUGGAGCUCAGUCUAUUAUAGAUGAUAAUUUUUACAGAGGUAAAGUUUUAAAAAAAAUUGACGAAGCUACUUAUUUAUUGCAGUUUAUUGAUUUUGGUGAUAAAGAUAAUGUACCUUUGUCAAAAAUAUUUGAAAUUCCCCAACAUUUUAUGACUCCUUCAAAUGUGAUUAAAAUUACUUUAAAAGGAGUAAAUAAUGUUCCAUUGAAUGUAGAUGCUUUAAAUUAUAUUUCCAAUUUAUUAACAACUUGUGAACCAAUGAUAAUUGAAUUUUCUCCAACACAACCCCUUAAAGAUGUUUCUUUAAAAAUAGUGAACAGUAAUGAAAAUGUGAAUGAACGACUAAAUGAAUUACUGGAAAAAGAUGAUAGUACAUCAACUACAAAUGUAACAAAUCAACCUGAAUCAGAUAAUGAAAAUGUUACUGGAUUAAAAAAAGGAGAUUCAGUAUACAUUACUACAUUCAUCAAUGUUCAUAAUUGUUAUGUCCGUAAAGUGGAAGAUGAAACUGAUGAAUUUACUGAUUUUAUAGAAACCGUAAAUUCGUACUGUUUAUCUGUAACCCCUAUUGGAAAAUUACCAAAAUUAAAUGACUUGGUUGGAGCAAAAUCAAUCGACGGAUCUUUUUAUAGAGCAAAAGUUAUAAAAAAAAUAAAUGACAAUAGUUAUGAUGUAAAAUUUAUUGAUUAUGGAAUUGAGGAGAAUGUUAGUUUAUCUGAUAUUGUUAAUCUUUCCUCAGAAUUAAAACAGUUAAUUCCUACCACUAUUUUGGUUAAAUUAAAAGGUGUUCCAUUCAUUAAAUUAAAUGAAGCAGCUCAUAAAUAUAUAUCUUUAAUCUCUGAAAAUGAAACCUUAAUAAUAGACAUGAUAGACAACAGCACAAAUGAAGUAAUACUAAAAACUGAAAAUAAUGAAAAUAUCAACAAUCGUUUAAAGGAAUUUAUGUUUGAAAACAACAAGGAAAUAAACAUAAAUGAUUUGAUUGAAAAUGAAGAAGAGUUCAAAUCAGAUCAAUCUUUAUUAGAAUAUGUUGUUCCUGUUUUGAAACCGGGUACUAUGGUUUAUUUGACUGCUUUCAACAAUAUGGAUGAAAUGUAUAUUAGAAAGUUAGAAGACUACGAUGAUGAAUUUCAUAAUUUAUUAGAAAAAGUUAAUGAAUUCUGUUCAUCUGCUAAACCAAUUAAUAGGCCACUAAUAAUUGGUCAAAUUGUUGGAGCUCAGUCUACAUUAGACCAAAGUUUUUACAGAGGUAAAGUUUUAAAAAAAAUUGAUGAUGUCACUUAUUCAAUACAGUUUAUUGACUUUGGUGAUAAGGAUAACGUACCUCUGUCAAAAAUAUUUGAAAUUCCUGCUGAUUUUAUGGUUCCUUCAACUAUAAUAGAAAUUAAUCUUAAAGGUAUUAAGUCUCAUUCAAUGAGUAUUGAAGCAUCAAACUAUAUUACAAAUUUAUUAUCAACAUAUGAGCCAUUGUCAAUAGAUUUUGACAAUUCAUUGCCUAUUAAAGAUGUAACGUUGGUAAUAAUUAAAAAUAAUGAAAAUGUUGCUGAAAUGUUAAAUAAACUUCUCAAGGAUAAAGAUGAUGAUAUAUCUAAUAAUAUUGUUGAAGAUAAACAUAUGAAAGAAGAAGAAUUAACAGAAUUGCCAAAUAUACCUUCAGCGUCUGAUGUUAUAGUUAGAGAUUCUAAGUUUUAUGAUGAAACUAAUAUGCUAAAAAAUGAGGACAUAGUCUAUAUUACGGCAUAUAUUGAUUCGUAUAAUAUUUUUGUCCGUAAAUUUGAGGAUAAUGUUGAAUUGAAAAAUCUCAUUGAAAGCGUCAAAUCUUGUUGUACUUUAGGAAAGGUUUACAAAAAUAAAUCUCCAGAGUUAAAUGAAAUUGUAGGCGCUAAAAGCUCAGUUGAUGGGUGUUAUUAUAGAGCAAAGAUAAUUGAUAAAACUGAUGAAAAAACUUAUGAAAUGAUUUUUAUUGAUUUUGGUUUUGAAGAAAGUGUGAAUGUUGCUAAUAUUGUUGCACUACCUAUACAUCUACAACAGGUGACUCCAACUAUUACCAAAGUUAGGCUUAAAGGUGCAUGUUUUGAAGAACUAAAUUCAGAAGGCUAUAAUUAUUUAGAGAGUUUGAUGAUAAAUUGUGAAUUAAUGAAAAUAGAGUUUGAAAAUUUAAAUGAAGUAAAGUUAACUGUCAUUAGCCAAAACAUAAAUGUGAUAGAUCAUUUAAACAAAUUACACGAACACUGCAUCACAAUGGAUAAUACUAUCAUUAAUAAUUCUUUGCAACUCAAUUCUGGUAUGAAGUAUAUAUCUAACGACAUCAGUGUCCCGCUAAUACCACCGUUGACUAAUAAAAGCAUAGUUACUAUUCAUGCAUUUAUUAGUGUAAAGGAUAUUUAUAUCAGUGUGCCUUUCAAUAAAGCUGAAGUGGAUAAGUUUUUAAAAGAUUUUUCGGUCUAUUGUUUGACUUCUCAACCUAUUACUAUAAACCCAGUUGUAGGAGAAGUUUUUGGAAUCAGAUCAUCUACUGAUAAUUCAUUUAACAGGGGUGCUGUUGAAGAAAAGUUGAACGAAAAUCAAUACAAAGUAGUUCUCUUUGAUUUAGGUACUAAAGAUAUUGUGUCGGCCGAUAGUUUUGUGGAAAUUCCAGAACACUUAAAACAGGUUCCGCGUACAAUUUAUUCAAUACGUCUUAAAGGUGUUGAUUCUGUUGUUCUCAACACCCAAGCAAUGUCUUAUGUGAAUAUGCUCUGUGAAAACCUGCCUUUAAUUAUUGAAUUUGACGAGAAAAGUCCAAAUGGAUUAAAUGCCGUGACAUUGACUACUAUUAAAACCCAACAAAAUGUUAACAAUCAUCUGAUACAGCUUUUAGCCCAAAAAGAAAGAGAUUCUCCAGAAACGGUACAGAUGUUAAGCAAAGGAGAUAUAGUUUAUAUUUCUACGUUUGUGGAUCUAUGUGCUAUUUAUGUUAGACGUAUCAACAACGGCACGGAUAAAUUUAAAUCAUUCUUGGAGAAUUUUUCAUCUUAUUGCGCUUUAGAAAAUCCUAUUGAAAAUGAUCCUAAAGUUGGUGAAAUAAUUGCGGCAAAACAACCAGGUGGAUCUAAAUUCUACAGAGCUGAAGUUAUUUCUAGAGUAGAUAAUAACAAUUUUAAUGUCUGUUUUAUUGAUUUUGGAUCCUGGGGUACUGUACACAAGAGUAAUAUAGUACAGCCGUCCGAAUCGCAGCUACAAAAUUGUCCGCCUACAUUUAUGGUCGGUUUACAUGGACUAGACGCAGAACCUGCUAAUGCCACAAUAUUGUACUAUAUAAAUAACAUCAGCAAAACCGAUACAUUUGUAAUUGAUUCUAUCACUGAACAAAACAAAGUCGUAUUGAUAUCAGUCGACACACACUGUGAUAUAAAUAAAGAAGUAAAGAAACUUUUAAACAACAGACAUAUUGAGGGGCAACACAUUCAAAACGAUGUAUACGCCAAUGGUGAUAUUAAUAUAGAUACUGAAAAAUGUGUCAUAAAGUACUAUAAACCACCUUUGGACAUCGCCACUCAGGUUUGGGUCGCCGAAAAAAUAUCUUCUUCAAGGUACUUGGUGCAUACUUGCGAAAGUCGUCUUGAAUUCAUACAAUUAGAGAAUCGAAUCUUUGAAGAUAGUAAAACAUUCGAAUCUGUUAAAUCUGUCAGUGUUAAUAUGCCAUGCAUCGUGUACUUCAGUCCCAGCUGGUAUCGUGGAGAAGUGUUGGAAGUAAUUGAUAAAGUCACAGCAAAAGUUGGUCUCGUGGACGUUGGAAAUUUCAGUGUCGUUCGCAGCAUCAAAGAAAUUUUCCACAUGCCGUCGAAAUACAAAGGAAAAUCGCUGUUAGUGAAUAUCGAAAUACAACCAGAACCGCAAGAAAAAUUAUCAGUCACGACUUUCAAAAUCGUUGCUAAAAAACACUUGGACAAUGUCACAGUGGUAGAAGUAUUGCUGGGGCCUACUGUAGAUCAAUCUUACGACGAUCUGGUUCGUAGUGUACUACUUCAUAGAUAAUGUCGGGCUACCGUCGUUUUCUUCGACGCCCAUCCCCGAAGAUUCCGGCCAGUUUCAGUUCAACAACAGCCGCAAUGAGUCAAAUCUACUAUGUACAACUCUGCGUCAUGACACAACUGGUGUCUCCGAGCA
This 5881-nucleotide unclassified non-coding RNA is filed under the name Rhopalosiphum maidis (corn leaf aphid). RNAcentral's name for it is "uncharacterized LOC113555865, transcript variant X8". Lineage: Eukaryota; Metazoa; Arthropoda; Insecta; Hemiptera; Aphididae. The record is from RNAcentral.